AAAAAAUAUAAAAAAACAUGUAUAUGAAUUCGAUUCUCGGUUCGGUACGAUUUUUGUUCAAUUUUAAUGCGAUUCUGAUUUAAUUUUUAAUAAAGAGUUAGAAUCAAAUUAAAAUAUUAAAAUAACUUUAAUUCUUUAUGAUUAUUCGAUUCCAAAAAUCGUGCAUGGCGCUAGUGCUUCAUGACCUUCCUGGUUUUAAGAGGCACUCUGUGUCCCAGUAACAGCUGGAAAUGCCCUGGAUUGAAUAUAUGUUUGGGGUGGUACCUGGAGUUAUGGGAACUAGUAGGUGGAUAAGAUCAAGAUAUGGUGGGCGAGGCCCAUUCAUUUCAGAUUGUGUAGAUCAUUGAUGACCAAUUCCAUAAUAUUUUUUAAUUUUUAUUAUGUGUAAUCUUUUCCUUGAAAUUUUGUUGCAGAGCCAAGCACGGAAAACAUUUAGGAUCUUGCUUCUACUGCCACGUCAUAUCACCUAAACUUCAGCAGCUUGCAAUUCUUUUACUCUGACCAAACAAAAAAACGGAUCUUUUAUCCACGUCAUCCUAACAUCAGCUGUUAUCCGUAAAAAGAGAGAGAGAGAGAGAGA
Molecule: unclassified non-coding RNA, 580 nt
Filed under: Hevea brasiliensis (rubber tree)
Lineage: Eukaryota; Viridiplantae; Streptophyta; Magnoliopsida; Malpighiales; Euphorbiaceae
Source: RNAcentral